CAUGUAGGCGGUCUUGUAAGUCAGAUGUUAAAUCUACGGGCUCAACCCGUAGCCGCAUUUGAUACUGCUUGACUAGAGAAUGCUAGAGGAAAGCGGAACUUCCAGUGUAGCGGUGAAAUGCGUAGAUAUUGGAAGGAACACCAGUGGCGAAGGCGGCUUUCUGGGGCAUUUCUGACGCUGAGGUGCGAAAGCUAGGGGAGCAAAC
Molecule: ribosomal RNA, 205 nt
Filed under: uncultured bacterium
Lineage: Bacteria
Description: partial 16S ribosomal RNA
Rfam family: Bacterial small subunit ribosomal RNA
Source: RNAcentral